UACGUAGGGGGCAAGCGUUGUCCGGAAUCAUUGGGCGUAAAGCGCGUGUAGGCGGCUUUGCAAGUCGGGUGUGAAAGCCCUCGGCUCAACCGAGGAAGUGCGCCCGAAACUGCAGAGCUUGAGUACCGGAGAGGAUGGCGGAAUUCCCCAAGUAGAGGUGAAAUUCGUAGAUAUGGGGAGGAACACCGGUGGCGAAGGCGGCCAUCUGGACGGAUACUGACGCUGAGACGCGAAAGCGUGGGUAGCAAACAGG
RNAcentral lists this ribosomal RNA (253 nucleotides) under uncultured bacterium. Its description in RNAcentral is "partial 16S ribosomal RNA". It matches the Rfam family "Bacterial small subunit ribosomal RNA", at positions 524 to 776 of the family's 1533-position model. The record is from RNAcentral.